Molecule: ribosomal RNA, 484 nt
Filed under: uncultured bacterium
Lineage: Bacteria
Description: partial 16S ribosomal RNA
Rfam family: Bacterial small subunit ribosomal RNA
Source: RNAcentral
AUUGAACGCUGGCGGCAGGCCUAACACAUGCAAGUCGAGCGGAUGAAGGGAGCUUGCUCCUGGAUUCAGCGGCGGACGGGUGAGUAAUGCCUAGGAAUCUGCCUGGUAGUGGGGGAUAGCGUCCGGAAACGGGCGCUAAUACCGCAUACGUCCUGAGGGAGAAAGUGGGGGAUCUUCGGACCUCACGCUAUCAGAUGAGCCUAGGUCGGAUUAGCUAGUUGGUGGGGUAAAGGCCUACCAAGGCGACGAUCCGUAACUGGUCUGAGAGGAUGAUCAGUCACACUGUAACUGAGACACGGGCCAGAGUCCUACGGGAGACAGAGGUGUGGAAUAUAGUACACUGUGCGAAAGCCUGAGCCAGCCAUGCCGCGUGUGUGAAGAAGGUCUUCGGAUUGUAAAGCACUUUAAGUUGGGAGGAAGGGCAGUAAGUUAAUACCUUGCUGUUUUGACGUUACCAACAGAAUAAGCACCGGCUAACUUCGUG